AUACUUCGGUUCAUGAGCAUGACGACUGAGUGUUCAUGCCUUACAUACUAGAUGUGCCUCACUCAAAACUUGUUCCUACGUGGGCACAUUACCCAUCUAAUG
Octodon degus (degu) is the source of this 102-nucleotide small nucleolar RNA. RefSeq annotates it as small nucleolar RNA U13. The transcript has a single exon. NCBI's taxonomy places the organism in Eukaryota, Metazoa, Chordata, Mammalia, Rodentia, Octodontidae. The record is from RefSeq and is a predicted model, not a curated record.